RNAcentral lists this ribosomal RNA (530 nucleotides) under uncultured bacterium. RNAcentral describes it as "partial 16S ribosomal RNA". It matches the Rfam family "Bacterial small subunit ribosomal RNA", at positions 355 to 874 of the family's 1533-position model. The record is from RNAcentral.
UGGGGAAUUUUGGACAAUGGGGGGCAACCCCUGAUCCAGCAAUGCCGCGUGUGUGAAGAAGGCCUUCGGGUUGUAAAGCACUUUUGUCCGGGAAGAAAUCCCCUGCCCUAAUACGGCGGGGGGAUGACGGUACCGGAAGAAUAAGCACCGGCUAACUACGUGCCAGCAGCCGCGGUAAUACGUAGGGUGCGAGCGUUAAUCGGAAUUACUGGGCGUAAAGCGUGCGCAGGCGGUGAUGUAAGACCGAUGUGAAAUCCCCGGGCUCAACCUGGGAACUGCAUUGGUGACUGCAUUGCUCGAGUAUGGCAAGGGGGGUGGAAUUCCACGUGUAGCAGUGAAAUGCGUAGAGAUGUGGAGGAACACCGAUGGCGAAGGCAGCCCCCUGGGCAAUACUGACGCUCAUGCACGAAAGCGUGGGGAGCAAACAGGAUUAGAUACCCUGGUAGUCCACGCCCUAAACGAUGUCAACUGGGUUGUCCGGGCCCUUCAUUGGGCUUGGUAACGUAGCUAACGCGUGAAGUUGACCGCCU